Molecule: non-coding RNA, 1347 nt
Organism: Podarcis lilfordi (Lilford's wall lizard)
Lineage: Eukaryota; Metazoa; Chordata; Lepidosauria; Squamata; Lacertidae
Source: the annotation of a GenBank genome assembly
UAAAAGGUUGUGUGGUUUGGUGCUUAGCACAUCAACGACCAUGGACAUUUCCCUAAUCAUAACAUCUUAAAAUGUCUCUUCAUGGUGAGAUUACUUUGGUAAUACUUUUUCUAUAGAGAUCAUUUCCAAGGAAAUUGCAAAUUCCCUAAAAUAAUGUGGUAUUGGUAUUGUGGGUCCCAAUAUUCAAAUGUCUAAACACUUCCACCCAGUAUUUUUUAGUUAAAAAAUAAGUCUCCCUCCCCGCUUGUGGAAACUUAGCAUAUCAGGAAGCAGGCCAGGUUAGAAUGCUUCAAGGCCAAGCAGUGAUUUUCACAUGGAGGGCCAUCCUAUCAGAAGCUUGUCCCACUUGGAACAAAAUGGUACAACCCAAAUGGACCAUGCCACAUAAUAUUUCUGUAGGAACAGUUCUAGACUUCAGGCCUCUUCUUUCCAUCUAUCAUGCCAUCUAUCACAGUCCUGAACCUGAUUCCACCCCCUUCUCUGGCAGGUCUUAAUGGACUUGCCCUAAUCUUGCAAAUGCCAUUACAGUGGUAAAUUGGGUUACAGACGCUUCAGGUAACACAGGUUACAGACUCCACUAACCCAGAGUACCUCGGGUUAAGAACUUUGCUUCAGGAAGAGAACAGAAAUUGCACGGUGGCAGCAGGAGGCCCCAUUAGCUAAAGUGGUGCUUCAGGUUAAGAACAGUUUCAGGUUAAGAACGGACCUCCAGAACGAAUUAAGUUCUUAACCCGAGGUACCACUGUACUUACCUCUGAAGGCUACUUCAGAUUUCAAGUGUGGACCUAUAUUUGCAAACAAGACCUGGGCUAUGGAAGCCAUGGUUGGCUGUUGAGCAUCUGCCCUGUCAGAAGCUGAUGUUUGCCUUUGUUUAGCGUGUGACACGGCCCUCGCACGUCCUCGUAUGCGUGGCUUGCGACGGCACUGUGACCCCAUUCUUUCAUUUAAAAUUAAAGAAGUGCGCUCUUUGUCCUCUAACAGCAUUCUUCCCCGCAACACCGCUCCGCAAAAUCUGGAAGCCAGUGAAGUCCAAGGAAAUCUCUCUUCUGCAAGACAUCAUUGGGCAGUUAGAUCAAGGCCUUGAAGGGCCCUGUGAUCUUCCUGGAGCUCCUCAGAAAGAGAAGUGUUGCUCGUCCAUUGAGACAAAAGCGGCUUCAUCUAAUGUGAUUGGACACAAAAGCAUUGUCAGAUGUGUAAAUGCAAAUUUAAUGAGUACCAAGGAGGGAAGGGAGGUGGCGGCUGGUGAGAGAAACUUCCAAAUCAAUGCAAAAAUAUUCGGCGCUGCAGUCAUUUUGAUUAAAAAAGAACACAGAGAGAGGAGACCACUUGAAAUAAGCAAAAAGGGGG